GAUGAACGCUGGCGGCGUGCCUAAUACAUGCAAGUCGAGCGAACGGACGAGAAGCUUGCUUCUCUGAUGUUAGCGGCGGACGGGUGAGUAACACGUGGAUAACCUACCUAUAAGACUGGGAUAACUUCGGGAAACCGGAGCUAAUACCGGAUAAUAUUUUGAACCGCAUGGUUCAAAAGUGAAGGACGGUCUUGCUGUCACUUAUAGAUGGAUCCGCACUGCAUUAGCUAGUUGGUAAGGUAACGGCUUACCAAGGCAACGAUGCAUAGCCGACCUGAGAGGGUGAUCGGCCACACUGGAACUGAGACACGGUCCAGACUCCUACGGGAGGCAGCAGUAGGGAAUCUUCCGCAAUGGGCGAAAGCCUGACGGAGCAACGCCGCGUGAGUGAUGAAGGUCUUCGGAUCGUAAAACUCUGUUAUUAGGGAAGAACAUAUGUGUAAGUAACUGUGCACAUCUUGACGGUACCUAAUCAGAAAGCCACGGCUAACUACGGG
This 497-nucleotide ribosomal RNA is filed under the name uncultured bacterium. RNAcentral describes it as "partial 16S ribosomal RNA". It matches the Rfam family "Bacterial small subunit ribosomal RNA", at positions 28 to 507 of the family's 1533-position model. The record is from RNAcentral.